CGCAUCUGUGCAUGCAGCAUAUCAAUAAGCGGAGGAAAAGAAACUAACAAGGAUUCCCUUAGUAACGGCGAGUGAAGCGGGAAGAGCUCAAAUUUGAAAUCUUCAAGGUUUUACCUUGACGAAUUGUAGUUUAAAGAAGUGUUUUCUGUUGAAGUUUUGGUAAAAGUUCUUUGGAAUAGGACAUCAUAGAGGGUGAGAAUCCCGUAUUUGACCAUUAUUUUCAGCUGUGUGAUACACUUUCAAAGAGUCGGAUUGUUUGGGAAUGCAGUCCAAAAUGGGUGGUAAAUUUCAUCUAAAGCUAAAUAUUGGCGAGAGACCGAUAGCGAACAAGUACCGUGAGGGAAAGAUGAAAAGAACUUUGAAAAGAGAGUUAAACAGUACGUGAAAUUGUCAAAAGGGAAGCGUUUGACACCAGUGUUGUUUUCUCGAAAAUCAAUUAAAAAGAGUUAGAUUUUGUUGUGUAUUGACCUUAACAGCUUGCAUUUCAAUUUUCUUGCUUUUUUUAAUGCACUUUUCGUUUAACAAGUCAACAUCAGUUUCUUUUGUUGUAAAAAGGUCAUUGGAAGGUGGCUUUCUUUUCGGAGAAAGUGUUUAUAGCCUUUGACUCCUGCAAUCGGAGAGACUGAGGUCUGCAGCGUAGAUCCUUCGGGGUUAGAUACAUUUGUGCUAAGUUAUAGCUUUUUAUAGACAACUUGUUGACUAUGAUUAGUCUUGUAGCUUACUCGCUUAUGCUAUUUUACCUACGCUUAGGAUGUUGACACACGCGCGUGCUCG
This 774-nucleotide ribosomal RNA is filed under the name uncultured Neocallimastigales. Its description in RNAcentral is "partial large subunit ribosomal RNA". It matches the Rfam family "Eukaryotic large subunit ribosomal RNA", at positions 26 to 644 of the family's 3401-position model. Lineage: Eukaryota; Fungi; Neocallimastigomycota; Neocallimastigomycetes; Neocallimastigales. The record is from RNAcentral.